CGCAUCUGUGCAUGCAGCAUAUCAAUAAGCGGAGGAAAAGAAACUAACAAGGAUUCCCUUAGUAACGGCGAGUGAAGCGGGAAGAGCUCAAAUUUGAAAUCUUAAAGGGUUUCCCUUUACGAAUUGUAGUUUAAAGAAGUGUUUUCUGUUGAGGUUUUGGUAAAAGUUCUUUGGAAUAGGACAUCAUAGAGGGUGAGAAUCCCGUAUUUGACCUUUACUUUCAACUUUGUGAUACACUUUCAAAGAGUCGGAUUGUUUGGGAAUGCAGUCCAAAAUGGGUGGUAAAUUUCAUCUAAAGCUAAAUAUUGGCGAGAGACCGAUAGCGAACAAGUACCGUGAGGGAAAGAUGAAAAGAACUUUGAAAAGAGAGUUAAACAGUACGUGAAAUUGUCAAAAGGGAAGCGUUUGACACCAGUGUUGUUUUUCUGAAAAUCAAUUAAAGAACUGUUUAUGCUAAGCUGUUUAGACUUUAUCAGCUAACUGUUUAGUUUUGAGCUUUUCUUUAAUGCACUUUUCAGUUAACAAGUCAACAUCAAUUUCUUUUGCUGUAAAAAAGCUUGAGGAAGGUGGCUUGAGAUUCGUCUUAAGUGUUUAUAGCCUCUUGCCUAUGCAGUCGGAGAGAUUGAGGUCUGCAGCGUAGAUCCUUCGGGGCUAAAUGCAUUUGUGCUAAGUUAUAGCAUUUUAUAGACAACUUGUUGACUAUGAUUUGUCUUGUAGCUUACUCGCUUAUGUUAUUUUACCUACGCUUAGGAUGUUGAGUCAUCACACAUCUCU
This 774-nucleotide ribosomal RNA is filed under the name uncultured Neocallimastigales. RNAcentral describes it as "partial large subunit ribosomal RNA". It matches the Rfam family "Eukaryotic large subunit ribosomal RNA", at positions 26 to 614 of the family's 3401-position model. The record is from RNAcentral. Lineage: Eukaryota; Fungi; Neocallimastigomycota; Neocallimastigomycetes; Neocallimastigales.